AUAUUGGUCAAUGGCCUAACGGUUGAACCAGCAACUUGGAGGAAAGUAUAGCGAAAGCUAAUUGUAAAUAUUACAAGCUCGAUUUACUCGGAUAAAAUUCUAGAUAGGAUUAUGAUAAUGACAUUGCCUAUCUAUAUGACUUGACCAAAUUACGUGCCAGCAGUCGCGGUAAUACGUAAAAGUCUAGUGUUAUUCAUCUUUAAUAGGUUUAAAGCGUACCUAGACGGUUAAUCAAGCCUAAAUAAGGUACUAAUUAAACUAGAGUUUUAUGUAAGGGUGCAUUAAGGUACUGUUGAGGUGUAGAGAUGAAAUUCUGUCAUACCAGAUUAUUGGCACGGGUUUAGGCGAAAGCAUCACCUUAUGUAAUAACUGACGUUGACGGACGAAGGCUUUGUGUCGCGAACAGGAUUAGAUACCCCAGUAGUCUAAGCAGAAAAUGAUGAGUGUCAUAGGUUGAAUAUUAUUUGGUCUAUAAAUGAAAGUGUAAGCACUCCACCUCAAGAGUAAUUUGGCAACAUUGGAACUGAAAUCAUUAGACCGUGUUUGAAACCAGUAGUGAAGUAUGUUGUUUAAUUAGAUGCCACGCAAAAAACCUUACCACAAUUUGAAUAUUAAAGAAAACUUUUUUACAAGCGCUGCACGGCUGUUUUUUAGUUAAUGUCGUGAGAUUUUGGUUAGUUCCAUUAAAUUAACGUAAACCCUUACUUUAUUUUAUAUAAAGUAGUUCACCGCUAGAUUGGUUAAGAUAACAGGGAUUAAGACAAGUCAUCAUGGCCUUAAUAUUGUGGGCUAUAGA
RNAcentral lists this ribosomal RNA (796 nucleotides) under Placynthium flabellosum. RNAcentral's name for it is "mitochondrial SSU rRNA". It matches the Rfam family "Bacterial small subunit ribosomal RNA", at positions 361 to 1220 of the family's 1533-position model. Lineage: Eukaryota; Fungi; Ascomycota; Lecanoromycetes; Peltigerales; Placynthiaceae. The record is from RNAcentral. RNAcentral also lists the same sequence under 1 other name.